CGGGAGCUUUGGGGACGGACCUGUGGAUGCCGAGGCGUUUUCCGUUCACCUGUGGGACUGGCGAUACUCGAGCAGGUGAGCAGGAGGGGCGCUGUAGAAGUCAUCAAGUUCUCUCCUUCGGAAGGCAAGAUUCUCUUCUAACCCUCUAAUACCUGGUCUUGACAGUUCAAAGGUAAUUCUGUCCCCUCCCCACACUGGACUGGGAACAGCUUGAAGGUGGUGUCCUACCCAUCUCUUGCGACUGCCAUCAGAGCCAAGAGUAACGCUGGCUCAUGCCAAGUGCUCCAUGUUUGCAGAUGUGAAGGAUUAAAUAUCUUGGGCCAAGAUGAAAAAGAUGUCUUGAGGCCUUCCAGACCUUGCUCCACCUCUACCACCAGGUCUCCAGUCCUGAGCCACAUGUUGUCAUUUUUGUCUCAGAAGCACCCCUCUUCCAGUGAUGAGCCCACUAUGAAGAAAGGGCACGAAGCUGGUUCCUCUCUCCCUGUCCUGGGAAUGGUGCCUGCCCGUGAUGGUAUCCUCAGGUCCCCAUCUCUGCUCCAGCAAGAUGUCUCAGGGGACGUCUAUGCAUUCAGCCAGGUGACCACUAGAAGAAAAUGUUCUCCAGGACCACCUAAGAGAAUGUAAGUGCUUGUGUCUAAAAAUGAAACAUUCUGGAGAUCAGAGCCCUUCAUGACACCAGCUCUCCGCUGUGCCUGUGGGCACCUGAUGUUGGAUACUGGAUGAUAUUGCAGAGCGACGGAGCAUCUGUGUGGAGGUGCAGAAUCAGGAAUGGUCUGAUGAACAAGAUUCGCCACCGUUCUCGUUUGCAAGGGGGCAGCACCUGAUGGAGGAAACAGGGUUCCUUUUCAGUUCUUAUAGUCUUCACUGACAGGCCACAGAAGGAUAGGGUCCCUUUUGCCUUUUCCUUGGUGAUGCUUAAGUCUGGCUCACAUGCUUUUGUGUGUUCUUUUAGAAACUAUCAACCUACUGCACACAAAAUAUGUGUACUUGGAUGGUGUUUGAUAUGGUGUGGAUGCUCAGGUUAAAAAAAAAAUAGUCAUAACCAGUUCUGGAAAGGAAGGAAUGAAGAGAAAGGUUGUAACUUGCUGGGUGGGUCUAGAACACUCCACACCCAUCCCCCAGAAUGAAAUCAGCUUUCCAAGUCAUCUGUUUGGGCGGGAGUUUCCAGCCAGUUAGAACUCUCUGUCCUCCCUUCCAGUCUUUUAGGGAACACUGUAUUUUGAAAGCCAGAUGAGAAGGCAGAUGUUUUUCUCAUCUCCACCCACACCCACAUUGUUGUUUGCCGAGUAAACCGGGUUGGGACACAAAUCCUGCAGAAGGGCUGCCGCUGGGGGCGCUGGAGGCUUCCAGCCCGGGUCAGCGCGGCCAGGACCCUGGGUGACGCACCUGUUAUCAAUUAACUGUCCAGGCUGAACUUGGGAAUGAAGGCCAGAACGGGCAUGGGAGGCCGAUCCUCCAGCUAAACUUUGACUUCAAGGUCAAGGAAGGAUUUGAAAGGGUGGGAAGAAAAAUAUUGUACAUUGGUUGGGUGAACAAUGUUUAUUAAAUUUAGAGCCAUUUGUACUCACCA
Non-coding RNA from Macaca mulatta (Rhesus monkey), 1570 nucleotides. NCBI's taxonomy places the organism in Eukaryota, Metazoa, Chordata, Mammalia, Primates, Cercopithecidae. The record is from RefSeq and is a predicted model, not a curated record.